CAAACCUACGGGGCGCAGCAGUGGGGGAUAUUGGACAAUGGGGGGAACCCUGAUCCAGCGACGCCGCGUGAGUGAAGAAGUAUUUCGGUAUGUAAAGCUCUGUCAGCAGGGAAGAAAGAAAUGACGGUACCUGACCAAGAAGCCCCGGCUAACUACGUGCCAGCAGCCGCGGUAAUACGUAGGGGGCAAGCGUUAUCCGGAUUCACUGGGUGUAAAGGGAGCGUAGACGGCGAGACAAGUCUGGAGUGAAAGGCCGGGGCCCAACCCCGGGACUGCUCUGGACACUGCCUGGCUGGAGUACAGGG
RNAcentral lists this ribosomal RNA (305 nucleotides) under uncultured bacterium. RNAcentral's name for it is "bacterial SSU rRNA". It matches the Rfam family "Bacterial small subunit ribosomal RNA", at positions 334 to 653 of the family's 1533-position model. The record is from RNAcentral.